Molecule: ribosomal RNA, 467 nt
Filed under: uncultured bacterium
Lineage: Bacteria
Description: partial 16S ribosomal RNA
Rfam family: Bacterial small subunit ribosomal RNA
Source: RNAcentral
GACGAACGCUGGCGGCGUGCUUAACACAUGCAAGUCGAACGGAAAGGCCCUGCUUUUGUGGGGUGCUCGAGUGGCGAACGGGUGAGUAACACGUGAGUAACCUGCCCUUGACUUUGGGAUAACUUCAGGAAACUGGGGCUAAUACCGGAUAGGAGCUCCUGCUGCAUGGUGGGGGUUGGAAAGUUUCGGCGGUUGGGGAUGGACUCGCGGCUUAUCAGCUUGUUGGUGGGGUAGUGGCUUACCAAGGCUUUGACGGGUAGCCGGCCUGAGAGGGUGACCGGCCACAUUGGGACUGAGAGACGGCCCAGACUCCUACGGGAGGCAGCAGUGGGGAAUAUUGCACAAUGGGCGGAAGCCUGAUGCAGCAACGCCGCGUGCGGGAGGACGGCCUUCGGGUUGUAAACCGCUUUCGCCUGUGACGAAGCGUGAGUGACGGUAAUGGGUAAAGAAGCACCGGCUAACUACGU